UACGUAGGGCGCAAGCGUUAUCCGGAAUUAUUGGGCGUAAAGAGCUCGUAGGCGGUUUGUCGCGUCUGCCGUGAAAGUCCGGGGCUCAACUCCGGAUCUGCGGUGGGUACGGGCAGGACUAGAGUGAUGUAGGGGAGACUGGAAUUCCUGGUGUAGCGGUGAAAUGCGCAGAUAUCAGGAGGAACACCGGAUGGCGAAGGCAGGGUCUCUGGGCAUUAACUGACGCUGAGGAGCGAAAGCAUGGGGAGCGAACAGGAUUAGAACUAC
This 267-nucleotide ribosomal RNA is filed under the name uncultured bacterium. RNAcentral describes it as "partial 16S ribosomal RNA". It matches the Rfam family "Bacterial small subunit ribosomal RNA", at positions 524 to 785 of the family's 1533-position model. The record is from RNAcentral.